This 747-nucleotide long non-coding RNA is filed under the name Manihot esculenta (cassava). RNAcentral's name for it is "long non-coding RNA (MESC_LNC005694)". The record is from RNAcentral. Lineage: Eukaryota; Viridiplantae; Streptophyta; Magnoliopsida; Malpighiales; Euphorbiaceae.
CCCCUUCAUCACCACCAGAUCAUGCCCAAAUGUAUGGUGAUGUGCCGGCUCCACACUCCCAGCCUUGAAGCUCACUAUAGCUGAGGUAGGGCUCUCUCUUACUAUCUUCAUCGAACCUCCUGGGAUGAUAUCAAUCGGAUCUAACUUCCGGUUCUUCACUAAGCAACAUAGAGAACAUGGGGUUAAGGUUUCUUCCUUACUUUCAUUGGCUGUUUCUUUUCCGAUUUUCGGCAUUUCCUCAAGGGAAUUGUCAAAGAAUGAAGAUAUUUCUUCGCUCCAGGGACCGAAAUUAGAAGCAGGACAUGGAGCUUUGAAAGGGGUAUUGAGCCAAGCAUCGAGGAUUUCUAUGGCAGAUUCCGGAGAUGUGGACAUGCCAGAGACAGCUAGCACAUUACAGUUGUUAAUGGAGCGGGUAUUGAUAGCUUCAGCUGUUGAAAGACAAGUGGAGGCGAAGACGCCGGGGAAUUUGUUGGCAAAGAUGGAGACACCGACGCCAGUUCCACAGGCGACAAGGCCUCGGAUUUGAGGGGAAGGAGAAGAUGGAGAUGCGGAGUUGGCAGCAGAGACACGACGUCCAACCUCGGCGGCGAUUGAGUAGUAGGAGGAAUUACCGAGAUCUUCAACAUCUAUGUUGAGAGAGCGGAGGUGCGAGACUAGAGCGUCUUUGAGGUUGCAGCCAAAGGAAUCCGCUCCGGUUAUGAUUUUGAGAGGACGGGGAGUAGAGGCGGCGGCGGCGAAUUCGGCCAU